UAUAUAUAUAUAUAUAUAUGUGUAUAUAUAUAUAUAUGUGUAUAUAUAUAUAUAUAUAUAUAUACACACUUAAACACACACUACCACAGCAGCACCUCCAUUCCCAUCACCAAUGCAUGAUUCCAUUUUUAUGAUACACCUGUCACUCAGUCAUUAGUGUUCCUGCUACUUUGAUCUUGUCAGUGGUGGUUGUAUUGGUGUUUGAUAAUAGGAUACAAGACUGAUUGACUCCUUGUGCUAGAAAGAUGAAUCUGGUAGUGUCUUUGUUAACUUAGAUAACGGUAAUGGUUGUAUGGUGAAGUAUAUGACAACAAUGUCCAGAGCUUUGAUUCUAAGUGAAUCUUAAAUUCAAUUAAAAUUUUGGGGACUAAUUUGUAUAAUAACUCUUUGUAAAUAUUAUCCAUGAUUAUAAUACAAUUAUAAUAAACUGCUUCCUCUGUAUUUGGUGGCUGUUGUUUAGCCCCUUGCCAACUACUAUCAAACUUUUUUCCUACUGUGAUUAAGUAUCACACUUUUUCUUAGGGCUGUAGGGAUGUGAUUUGAUUGAUAGUUAUAUGCUAUUUGUAUCAGAUACAAAUUUUUUCCUUACUGGGUUGUUUGUACUUGUUUUAGAGAUUGUGUACAGUGUGUAUGUUUUGAAAAAUGAAUUUCAAUACAUUUACACAAGUUCCUCUUAUUUGAUUUUCAUUCAUGUCUGUGUGUGUAAUGGUGGUAAUAUGAUAACUAUAUCAUUGUUCCUUUCCCAGUCCUCUAAAUCAUAAGUAUCAUGUACCUGCAUAACCAUCUUUCAGUGUUGGUGGUGCAGGACUUAAUGUGUUUGACUAACUUUGGAUGGAAUUUAAAUUCUGUCAAUGGUAACAUCACUUUUCAUUCCUUGUAAGGAAGAACGUUGAUAUUUGUACCAGUAAUGUACUGGAACUGUUUGAAUUGCUUAUAUUGGUUACCUGAUUUGUAAGGUUAGUAUUGAGUAGCACUAGUGUGGCAGAAUUGUUAGGGUCAGUGCUUUGAUAUUUGCUUUUUACAUUCAGAAUUUAUAUCCUGCCAUGGUCAACUUUAUUUUCUGUUCUUGUGGGAAAGUACUAGUCAAUGUUGUUGGUUUGUUUUGGCUCUGCACCCUCCCACCAAAUCUAUGGCUUUGUAUCAAUAAAAGACCAUUAUUAUUACAUCACCACUGGUGUUCCUGUAAAUUCAGAACAAGAUAUAAAUUAUCUGAUUUGGCUAUUUUUCCAUUUGCAUUAAAAGAAAUAAUUGUUUGCUUUGCUGUCUGAAGUUUACUUUGGAUUUCAUGUUGAAACCUCUUUUUUCAUGUAUCUUGUGUAUUACUCAGGAGCCCCCCAAAAGGCAUGUGCAUUGUAGCUUCUUGCUUUUUACUUUUUCAUUAUAAGUUGUUGGAAUUGGUGCAAAAAGGAAAGAGAGCUGGAUUGGAUAAUCUAAAGCAGUCUUUUGGGAAUAAAUUCCUUCUGGUAUUGUUACAAGAAAUGCAUAGUGUCCAAAAAGUGGGUUGUGGGUGGGUAAGGAAAAUAGUAGCAAUGAUUUAAUUCCGCAGAGUUUCAUUUCGUAAAAGAAAUUUUAAUUAUUUUGUUAUUCAAAAAAAAAAAAAUGAUAUUAUUUUGGGUUAAAAAUCCUGCUAGAGUCAGCUUUACCUUCUGUCCUUAUGAGGAUUGAUUUAUUUCAGUGCCUCACAAUUUGUGGCCUUGUACCUCUACUAAGAAUUAUUAAUCAGAGUACAGUGAUGGAGUGGCAGUAACAUUAAUACUAGUUUCACUCAUUUGGUGAUUAAACUUUUCCUUUCAUCCCUCCAGGGUCAAGUGACAGUCAAGUAUAUGACUUGAUUGAAUUGACCAACUGCUACUCUCAAAUAGGUGACCAUGUGUCUUAUUAUUAGAAAUUAUUAUUCUUAUUGAAGUUUAAUGUCUGAAAUGGUGGUGCUGGAUAAUGUGCAUUGUGGAAUUCAGUGAUGCUGAGUUCAUAUUUUACCAUGGUUUGUUUUGACUGGGUUGAUCAGUUAAACUGUUUUCCUACAAAUCUGUGUUCUUAUGUCUUGUACCAGUGUGACACCUAAU
This 2063-nucleotide long non-coding RNA is filed under the name Octopus sinensis (East Asian common octopus). RNAcentral's name for it is "uncharacterized LOC118764282". The record is from RNAcentral. Lineage: Eukaryota; Metazoa; Mollusca; Cephalopoda; Octopoda; Octopodidae.